CCUAAUAGAACCCCAAAAACGAAAGUUACUCUAAUUAACCUCUUGAAUACACGACAGUUUGGGCACAAACUGGGAUUAGAUACCCCACUAUGCCAAACCGUAAAUUUGAACUACACUUAAAACGCCAGGGUACUACGAGCCGAGCUUAAAACCCAAAGGAUUUGACGGUGUUCCACCCAUCUAGAGGAGCCUGUUCUAUAAUCGAUGAUCCACGAUAUACCUAACCAUUUUUUGCUAUUCAGCCUGUAUACCUCCGUCGUAAGCUUACCGCUUGAGUGAGGAAAAGUAAGCAAAAGGACCUAAAGCCAAAACGUCAGGUCAAGGUGCAGCUUAUAAAAUGGAAGAAAUGAGCUACAAUUUCUAAUUUAGAAUACACGAAUUACUGCAUGAAACAAAGUCAUGAAGGUGGAUUUAGCAGUAAGUGAGGAAUAGAGAGCCUCACUUAAUUCGGCCCUGGAACGCGUACAAACCGCCCGUCACCCUCUUCGAUAGCUUCAUUAAUAGUUAAAUAACCUAUUUACCGCGUUUUAGAAGAGGCAAGUCGUAACAUGGUAAGCAUACUGGAAAGUGUUCUUGGAAUAA
Molecule: ribosomal RNA, 582 nt
Filed under: Polypedates braueri (Java treefrog)
Lineage: Eukaryota; Metazoa; Chordata; Amphibia; Anura; Rhacophoridae
Description: partial 12S ribosomal RNA
Rfam family: Bacterial small subunit ribosomal RNA
Source: RNAcentral